GAAAUGCGAUACGCAAUGCGAAUUGCAGAAUUCCGCGAGUCAUCAGAUCUUUGAACGCAAGUGGCGCUGGUCUAACCGCCAGCAUGCUUGUUUCAGUGUGCUAGGAAUCACACAGUUCAAUGCGAUUGACGGGAGAACACCCCACGAUUCAUUCGUGUGUGCUUCCUCUCUUCUCUCGUUAAACACGGUGGCGCCGAGCCUCUAGCGCGGCCGAACGAAGUAGUCACUUCAUCCGAAAGUGAUCUCGUUUCGGGUACCGGCGGGCUCACUAAGGUGUUUUUCCACGACAAAUAAAUAAAUUAACUAUUCGUUCAUUUAUCACCAUUUCUCCACAACACCUGAAAUCACGCAAGAUCACCCGCUGAACUUAA
Molecule: unclassified non-coding RNA, 371 nt
Filed under: uncultured fungus
Lineage: Eukaryota; Fungi
Description: sequence contains ITS1
Rfam family: 5.8S ribosomal RNA (bases 1-101)
Source: RNAcentral